Molecule: ribosomal RNA, 251 nt
Filed under: uncultured bacterium
Lineage: Bacteria
Description: partial 16S ribosomal RNA
Rfam family: Bacterial small subunit ribosomal RNA
Source: RNAcentral
CGCAAGUAGAGUGGCGAACGGGUGAGUAAUACAUCGGAACAUAUCCAGUAGCGGGGGAUAACCUGUCGAAAGAUAGGCUAAUACCGCAUACGAUCUACGGAUGAAAGCGGGGGACCGCAAGGCCUCGCACUAUUGGAGUGGCCGAUGUCGGAUUAGCUAGUUGGUGGGGUAAUGGCCUACCAAGGCAACGACGGGUAGCUGGUCUGAGAGGAUGAUCAGCCACACUGGGACUGAGACACGGCCCAGACUCC